This 395-nucleotide long non-coding RNA is filed under the name Mustela putorius furo (domestic ferret). Its description in RNAcentral is "lncRNA (ENSMPUG00000029691.1)". Lineage: Eukaryota; Metazoa; Chordata; Mammalia; Carnivora; Mustelidae. The record is from RNAcentral.
AAUAGCUCUGGGAACUGUCAUGGGUUAGGGAAAUGGGCAGGAUGGCUUGACUUCCACUAUAUCGUGGAACAACUGUAUCAUGGUUCAUCUCUUCUUCUUUCUUUCACCUCCUUCGUAUAUCAGCUUUUCUCAAGGCUGCUAACAUGGACCCUGGCAUCAGCAUCACCUAGGAGCUCUCAGAAAUGCAGAAUCUUGGACCUCUCCCCAGAGCAACUGAAUUAGAGUCUGCAUCUUAUCAAGACCCCAAGAUUUAUUUAUUUGUUUUGGAAACAGCAUGCACAAGCAGUUGGGAGUGGGUGGAGGUGCCCAGAGGGAGAGAAGCAAAUUUCCUGCUGAGCGCAGAGCCCAGCUCAGAGCUGGAUCCUAGGACCCUGAGAUCAUGACCUGAGCUGAAA